CUCCUUGUUAUCAAACACAGCGGCGGCAAUAGGAAAAAGAAAAAAAGAGAGAAAGGAAGAAAGAACAGGAGGCAGGGGAGAGGGAAGAGAGGAAGGGGGUGUGCCGGCGCUGGUCAACUCCGCCGUCGCCGUCGCCGCGCCCUACCGAUCGUUGUUGAGAAGGUCGAACAGAGGGGAGAGAAAGCUAGCGUUGAGAAAGGGAAGGGUCGCCGAGCUAGCGCCGUCGCGUCAGCACGGCUGUGCCGCCACGGAUGAAGAGAGAUGCGUCGGAGGGAGAGAAGGUCCGCGGUGGAGAAAGAGAGAGAGCGCUCGCGAGGGGUAUCGGAGCUGCGUUCCGCCGCCAUGCUGUGCGAAGUCACCAUCGUGCCUCGAGCCUCACCGUUGUCGUCCUCGACGUGAGCCCUUGCCGUCGUUGAUGGGGUUGAAUCCGCCGCCAGUUUGAGCUGAGGGAAAGGAAACGUGUAUAGGAGAGAGAGCAGGGGGCUUCGUGGCAGCUCCAUCGUGCCACUCCUGCCGAGCCACCGCCAAAUUCUGCCGCCGAUAAGAACCCUAGCCAUCACCGUCGAAGACGCCACCGCUGCCACUACCGUCAAUUGGGAUCAAAAUUGUUGCUGUGUUCCUAGAGCUGUCAUGGAAGUGGCUGAUUCGGUCCUAAUUCCUCCAUUGUUGAGACUGGCUGUGUUCACUUUCGAUACCUAUUCAAUUUGGAUUCUCUAUUCUGCUGUAACUACCAUUACCGUCGUGGAUUUGUUGCCACUGCUGCCAUGAAAC
This is a non-coding RNA of Arachis ipaensis, 771 nucleotides long. The record is from RefSeq and is a predicted model, not a curated record. NCBI's taxonomy places the organism in Eukaryota, Viridiplantae, Streptophyta, Magnoliopsida, Fabales, Fabaceae.